Molecule: ribosomal RNA, 498 nt
Filed under: uncultured bacterium
Lineage: Bacteria
Description: partial 16S ribosomal RNA
Rfam family: Bacterial small subunit ribosomal RNA
Source: RNAcentral
AUUGAACGCUGGCGGAAUGCUUUACACAUGCAAGUCGAGCGGCAGCGCGGGGCAACCUGGCGGCGAGCGGCGAACGGGUGAGUAAUAUAUCGGAACGUGCCCAGUCGUGGGGGAUAACGUAGCGAAAGCUACGCUAAUACCGCAUACGAUCUACGGAUGAAAGCGGGGGAUCGCAAGACCUCGCGCGAUUGGAGCGGCCGAUAUCAGAUUAGGUUGUUGGUGAGGUAAAAGCUCACCAAGCCUGCGAUCUGUAGCUGGUCUGAGAGGACGACCAGCCACACUGGAACUGAGACACGGUCCAGACUCCUACGGGAGGCAGCAGUGGGGAAUUUUGGACAAUGGACGCAAGUCUGAUCCAGCAAUGCCGCGUGCAGGACGAAGGCCUUCGGGUUGUAAACUGCUUUUGUACGGAACGAAACGGUGAGCUCUAAUAUAGUUUGCUAAUGACGGCACCGUAAGAAUAAGCACCGGCUAACUACGUGCCAGCCGCCGCAGUAA